Molecule: long non-coding RNA, 1473 nt
Organism: Dendroctonus ponderosae (mountain pine beetle)
Lineage: Eukaryota; Metazoa; Arthropoda; Insecta; Coleoptera; Curculionidae
Exons: 5
Source: RefSeq, a predicted model, not a curated record
GGCAAGCAACUUACCCUUCGGGCGAGCGCCUUUUUAUCCCGCUCAGAGGAGCAUUGUCAUUGCUCAUGAAAAUUUCUGAGGCCUCAGAAGGUGGUUGAUAAUUAAUCUUCGAAAUGAGGCGCUUACCAGUUUGUUCACUCGGGCCAACGUGUGGAUUUCCCUCUGAAGCAGCGGCAUGUGCGUUCUGAGGAACGGCAACACGAAAGGCCUCAGAGGAAAAUUCGUGACGUCUUGCAGCGAGUGGUGGAAUUCUUCUAUGCUCAAAUUCGAACUCUAGAAACAUGGUCAUGAACCAGACUUUUGACUCUCUCCCCCACAUCUGAGCUGAUGUCGCUUCCGAACUGCACCAAAGUGCUCAGGAACUUCUUCACCUUGGUCAGCUGCCUGCCAGUUGGAUAGCCGCCCAAACUGCCAUAAGGGAUGUCCGAAAAGGACCUGGGGGUUUCCAGGGAAAGCGCCUGGAAGGAAAAUUUACGCUCAUUUCCCGCGGACAAUCCAGUCAACAAGUACGCUACUGUCCUCGGACACUCUGGAAAGGUAAAAAGCGACCGCAAACGAAUGUCGGACGGAAAAAAUCCAAUUCAAGUUUCGUGUCUGGACCUGACAAAAAGAAAGGGCGGCAAGAAGGGCCUGUUCCUGAACGACAAGGUUGCCGGCGCUUAUUUUUCCAGAGGGCCCUCCAGUUUUUCUGCAGACCUGGAGAGCGCGUGCAACUGACUGCGCCACCGAAUUACGAAAAACGGAUUUGUUUUCUGGUUCCGGCGAUAAAUCCACUUUUGGGCGUGGAAUGGAUGGGGAAAUACUUACGGUAGCAGCUGGAAGUGGAGGAGGCGGUGUGAGGCUGUCGGCGUUGCAAUUGGUCGGAGGCGAUGCAACGCUUCUAAGUGGAGGUGAAGACUGCGAAGAAAGAAAUUAAAUUCCAGAGAAAACAGCUCCCUGGCAAAGAGAAUCAAUCGGGAACAGAAGCUGGAGCAAAACCCCAGCAUGGCGUACAGUGGGGAACGAUAGAGAUUGAUGUGGAACAUGCCGGCGAUAAUUAAACUACCAGGAAGUUUAUGCGAUUUAGGAAACUGAAAUAUGCGUUGCUGCAGUGGGAAAGUUGAAAAAAACACUCGAUGUGUAGAAUGCUGGUUUUUGUCUCCAAAUCUCCAAAAUUGUGCAAAAAUGGCAGAAAAGGGACAAAUUUACUUCUGGCACUUGCCCCAAAAUGGUGGCAAGUCCCAAUAUCGAAUCCAGACCAAAUCCGGAUUUAUCCCAAGGAAAGUUGGCUUGCGGUCCACUGGGACUCGCCCUGGUGCUUGAUGGAAAACGUCAGAAGCACGUGUUUACCCCGAAGGAAUUUCGACUUUAUAUUUGAAUUAUAUUAAAUAGCGCGAGUGUACGUACUUCCAGAGCACCUGUUCGCAGGAAAUAGGAGCCCUUUUAUAUAAAAUAAUUCGUGUUUGCCGAAAAUAAUCGACAACGUUAAUGGCA